This 455-nucleotide ribosomal RNA is filed under the name uncultured bacterium. RNAcentral's name for it is "bacterial SSU rRNA". It matches the Rfam family "Bacterial small subunit ribosomal RNA", at positions 30 to 473 of the family's 1533-position model. The record is from RNAcentral.
UGAACGCUGGCGGCGUGCCUAAUACAUGCAAGUCGAGCGAAUGGAUUGAGAGCUUGCUCUCAAGAAGUUAGCGGCGGACGGGUGAGUAACACGUGGGUAACCUGCCCAUAAGACUGGGAUAACUCCGGGAAACCGGGGCUAAUACCGGAUAACAUUUUGAACCGCAUGGUUCGAAAUUGAAAGGCGGCUUCGGCUGUCACUUAUGGAUGGACCCGCGUCGCAUUAGCUAGUUGGUGAGGUAACGGCUCACCAAGGCAACGAUGCGUAGCCGACCUGAGAGGGUGAUCGGCCACACUGGGACUGAGACACGGCCCAGACUCCUACGGGAGGCAGCAGUAGGGAAUCUUCCGCAAUGGACGAAAGUCUGACGGAGCAACGCCGCGUGAGUGAUGAAGGCUUUCGGGUCGUAAAACUCUGUUGUUAGGGAAGAACAAGUGCUAGUUGAAUAAGCUGGC